This 793-nucleotide ribosomal RNA is filed under the name uncultured archaeon. RNAcentral's name for it is "bacterial SSU rRNA". It matches the Rfam family "Archaeal small subunit ribosomal RNA", at positions 85 to 876 of the family's 1478-position model. The record is from RNAcentral.
ACGGCUCAGUAACACGUGGAUAACCUGCCCUUGGGUCCGGCAUAACCCCGGGAAACUGGGGAUAAUACCGGAUAACGCACAUAUGCUGGAAUGCUUUAUGCGUAAAAUGGAUUCGUCUGCCCAAGGAUGGGUCUGCGGCCUAUCAGGUAGUAGUGGGUGUAAUGUACCUACUAGCCUACAACGGGUACGGGUUGUGAGAGCAAGAGCCCGGAGAUGGAUUCUGAGACAUGAAUCCAGGCCCUACGGGGCGCAGCAGGCGCGAAAACUUUACAAUGCGGGAAACCGUGAUAAGGGGACACCGAGUGCCAGCAUCAUAUGCUGGCUGUCCAGGUGUGUAAAAUACACCUGUUAGCAAGGGCCGGGCAAGACCGGUGCCAGCCGCCGCGGUAACACCGGCGGCCCGAGUGGUGAUCGUGAUUAUUGGGUCUAAAGGGUCCGUAGCCGGUUUGGUCAGUCCUCCGGGAAAUCUGACGGCUCAACCGUUAGGCUUUCGGGGGAUACUGCCAGGCUUGGAACCGGGAGAGGUAAGAGGUACUACAGGGGUAGGAGUGAAAUCUUGUAAUCCCUGUGGGACCACCUGUGGCGAAGGCGUCUUACCAGAACGGGUUCGACGGUGAGGGACGAAAGCUGGGGGCACGAACCGGAUUAGAUACCCGGGUAGUCCCAGCCGUAAACGAUGCUCGCUAGGUGUCAGGCAUGGCGCGACCGUGUCUGGUGCCGCAGGGAAGCCGUGAAGCGAGCCACCUGGGAAGUACGGCCGCAAGGCUGAAACUUAAAGGAAUUGACGGGGGAG